This 433-nucleotide ribosomal RNA is filed under the name uncultured bacterium. RNAcentral describes it as "partial 16S ribosomal RNA". It matches the Rfam family "Bacterial small subunit ribosomal RNA", at positions 29 to 507 of the family's 1533-position model. The record is from RNAcentral.
AACGAACGCUGGCGGCAUGCCUAACACAUGCAAGUCGAACGAGCCCUUCGGGGUUAGUGGCGCACGGGUGCGUAACGCGUGGGAAUCUGCCCUUGGGUUCGGUAUCACAGUGAGAAAUUACUGCUAAUACCGGAUGAUGUCUUCGGACCAAAGAUUUAUCGCCCAAGGAUGAGCCCGCGUAGGAUUCGCUGGUUGGUGGGGUAAUGGCCUACCAAGGCGACGAUCCUUAGCUGGUCUGAGAGGAUGAUCAGCCACACUGGGACUGAGACACGGCCCAGACUCCUACGGGAGGCAGCAGUGGGGAAUAUUGGACAAUGGGCGAAAGCCUGAUCCAGCAAUGCCGCGUGAGUGAUGAAGGCAUUAGGGUUGUAAAGCUCUUUUACACGGGAUGAUAAUGACAGUACCGGGAGAAUAAGCUCCGGCUAACUACGUG